This 235-nucleotide long non-coding RNA is filed under the name Chrysemys picta bellii (western painted turtle). RNAcentral describes it as "lncRNA (ENSCPBG00000009412.1)". Lineage: Eukaryota; Metazoa; Chordata; Testudines; Emydidae. The record is from RNAcentral.
GGGCCCCCUCUCAUGGCUCUGUGCACCUGUGUCUGUCAUUGUCGUCCUCUCCCCUCCCCCCGCCCCGCUCGCCCAAUGUGUCCUGAUAUUUCACUCUUGCGAUCUGGUCACCCUACCUGUGGCUGAAGUAGGAACACAUUCAGAGCUGAUGGAGAAAAGGGGGUUAUAUUAUUCACUUGCAGCAGCACAGGAACACCUUCCCAAAGUUUCUUUCCUCAAGCUUUUUAAAUUAAAC